Molecule: long non-coding RNA, 493 nt
Organism: Vitis vinifera (wine grape)
Lineage: Eukaryota; Viridiplantae; Streptophyta; Magnoliopsida; Vitales; Vitaceae
Exons: 3
Source: RefSeq, a predicted model, not a curated record
AGAAAGAUAAGAAACCAUCUACUGCAAACACAAAAAAUGAGAUGAAGGUCGAGGGACUUGGUACUCCUCUUAGAUCUCUUAAGAACAAUAAGAAAAAUUCAGAUGGCAACAAUCUGAAAAUGCAGUCUGAGAAAUCAAAAACCCCUGCAGAGUCUGUUAUUGGGGAAGCUGAAAAUUCUACACUGUCCUCAACAAAACCUCAGCUUGAAGCUAAUGCAAAUGAAAAUGAACUUGCACUGAAGAGGAUGCUAUCUGAUGCAGCUUUUGCCCGGCUUAAACAAUCUAAAACUGGACUCCACCGCAAGUCUUUACAGGAACUAGUUGAUCUGUCCUAGAAAUAUUACAGUGAAGUUGCACUUCCGAAACUGGUUGCAGAUUUUGGUUCAUUGGAACUCUCACCAGUGGAUGGUCGGACGCUGACCGAUUUCAUGCAUACUAGAGGUCUUCGAAUGCGUUCUCUGGGACAUGUUGUAAGUGCUGUACUCCCCUAGGU